RNAcentral lists this ribosomal RNA (253 nucleotides) under uncultured bacterium. Its description in RNAcentral is "partial 16S ribosomal RNA". It matches the Rfam family "Bacterial small subunit ribosomal RNA", at positions 524 to 776 of the family's 1533-position model. The record is from RNAcentral.
UACGGGAGAUACAAGCGUUAUCCGGAUUUACUGGGCGUAAAGCGUCUGCAGGUGGGUCAGUAAGUCCUUUGUUAAAGCCUGAGGCUUAACCUCAGAUUCGCAAAGGAUACUACUGGUCUGGAGUGGGGUAGAGGUAAAGGGAAUUUUCAGUGGAGCGGUGAAAUGCGUAGAUAUUGAAAAGAACACCGAUGGCGAAAGCACUUUACUAGGCCCUAACUGACACUCAGAGACGAAAGCUAGGGGAGCAAAUAAG